GACGAACGCUGGCGGCGUGCCUAAUACAUGCAAGUAGAACGCUGAAGGAGGAGCUUGCUUCUCUGGAUGAGUUGCGAACGGGUGAGUAACGCGUAGGUAACCUGCCUGGUAGCGGGGGAUAACUAUUGGAAACGAUAGCUAAUACCGCAUAAUAGCAGUUGUUGCAUGACAACUGUUUGAAAGGUGCAAUUGCACCACUACCAGGUGGACCUGCGUUGUAUUAGCUAGUUGGUGGGGUAACGGCUCACCAAGGCGACGAUACAUAGCCGACCUGAGAGGGUGAUCGGCCACACUGGGACUGAGACACGGCCCAGACUCCUACGGGAGGCAGCAGUAGGGAAUCUUCGGCAAUGGACGGAAGUCUGACCGAGCAACGCCGCGUGAGUGAAGAAGGUUUUCGGAUCGUAAAGCUCUGUUGUAAGAGAAGAACGAGUGUGAGAGUGGAAAGUUCACACUGUGACGGUAUCUUACCAGAAAGGGACGGCUAACUACGUG
Molecule: ribosomal RNA, 495 nt
Filed under: uncultured bacterium
Lineage: Bacteria
Description: partial 16S ribosomal RNA
Rfam family: Bacterial small subunit ribosomal RNA
Source: RNAcentral